UGAGGAGUGGCUUCCGGAGCUAACGCGUUAAAUCGACCGCUGGGGAGUACGGCCGCAAGGUUAAAACUCAAAUGAAUUGACGGGGGCCCGCACAGCGGUGGAGCAUGUGGUUUAAUUCGAUGCAACGCGAAGAACCUUACCUACUCUUGACAUCCAGAGAAUUUAGCAGAGAUGCUUUAGUGCCUUCGGGAACUCUGAGACAGGUGCUGCAUGGCUGUCGUCAGCUCGUGUUGUGAAAUGUUGGGUUAAGUCCCGCAACGAGCGCAACCCUUAUCCUUUGUUGCCAGCACAUUAUGGUGGGAACUCAAAGGAGACUGCCGGUGAUAAACCGGAGGAAGGUGGGGAUGACGUCAAGUCAUCAUGGCCCUUACGAGUAGGGCUACACACGUGCUACAAUGGCGUAUACAAAGAGAAGCGACCUCGCGAGAGCAAGCGGAACUCAUAAAGUACGUCGUAGUCCGGAUUGGAGUCUGCAACUCGACUCCAUGAAGUCGGAAUCGCUAGUAAUCGUAGAUCAGAAUGCUACGGUGAAUACGUUCCCGGGCCUUGUACACACCGCCCGUCACACCAUGGGAGUGGGUUGCAAAAGAAGUAGGUAGCUUAACCUUCGGGAGGGCGCUUACCACUUUGUGAUUCAUGACUGGGGUGAAGUCGUAACAAGGUAACCA
This 668-nucleotide ribosomal RNA is filed under the name uncultured Providencia sp. Its description in RNAcentral is "bacterial SSU rRNA". It matches the Rfam family "Bacterial small subunit ribosomal RNA", at positions 833 to 1502 of the family's 1533-position model. Lineage: Bacteria; Pseudomonadati; Pseudomonadota; Gammaproteobacteria; Enterobacterales; Morganellaceae. The record is from RNAcentral.